CACACACACACACACACACACAUACACCUACACAUGACCGAUUGCCUCGCCUCUAGCAUUGGGAAUCAGUCACCGUGCUGUCCUUGUGGAGUCUUGUGGCCCAACAAGAGGAAGCUCUCCCCUGACAUUGCCCCUCCAAAGUGCGCCACUUCCAGUGCGCCCCACUGUCAUGCCCGGCCUGUGGACAGCCAGACCCUGCCAUCCCUCCCACCCCCGACCAAGCAUGGGGGUGCUCUGUAGGUAGCUGUGUGGCCUGACAGUCUCUACCAGUCCUGCUGUCCCUCAGCUGAGAAUCAAACCCAUUUCUGGAUGACAGGGAAUGUGUCUUCUGCUGGCUGUGUUCUCUGUGGAGCUCAGGGGAGGGAAAAGGCCAAGCUAUUUCUAGGGUGCUGUCAGGACCGAUGAAAAGGUCACACCCUUUCCAAGAGACACUUUUCCUGGAAAGCCCCUGGAGCUUAGCUGGCUCUUAUCCUGUGAUAAGCCAGAGGCUCUGGGGGGUGAGGGAGCAGAAACCCUCCUCACCCCAGCCAACGGGGACCUGUAUACCUCUGCCAGUCUCUCACUUGGCCUUGCUGCUGUCCUCUGAGACUGCCUGUUCCUCCCUCUCUGUGACUCUACACCACCAUCACCUCCUCCAGGAAGUCCUCUGGAUUGACUCCUAGCUUAUUACAUCUUUAUUGUGCAGACCCUCUCCAUUCAAAGCCCCUCUUCAACUGCCCCCCCCCACUACCUCCAAGACAGAGAUUCUGGGUUCUUGCAACUGCAGCCCCUCAGAGAGUGUAAGAGGGGCAGAAAAAGGAGAUCAGGAGGUGAGGGAAGCAGCGCUGUCAGAGUUUCCAAAGCCCCGGCCAGCAAGGCCUCAGAGGCCUCUGUUGGAGUGGGGGCCUCCCUGGCUAUGCGCUCCAGCUGCACAAGGCAGCCUCUGUGAGCCUCUCCCACUCAGCCCUACAGGAAGCAGCAGGGCCCAGCCUCAAUGGACCCAUUCAGACCCCAGCGCUCCGGAAAGUACCUCUGCUUCCUGCCACCAUUCCACUCUGGCCAAACAGGCUCUACUCUCUUCUGAUGGGAGGAGGCCGCAGGCAGGUGGUUCAGUGGUUAGGGCCAACCAUCUACUUCAGUUCCUGUCUGGCCCAGAUCUCUGACCUUGACCAUGCCCUAGUGGGUGUAUGUAUACCUUUAGUGCAAGGGUGGUGUGACAGUUAAUACUGAGUGUCAACUUGAUUGGGUUGAAGGCUGCAAAGUAUUGACCUACUGGAAGUGUCUGUGAGGGCAUUGUAAAAGGAGAUAAACAUUUGAGUCAGUGGGCUGGGGAAGGCAGACCCACCUUUAAUACUGGUGGGUACCAUCUUUCUAAUCAGCUGCUAGCGAAUAUAAAGCAGGCAGAAAAACAUGAAAAGGUAAGAUUGGCCUAGCUUCCCAGCCUACAUCUUUCUCCCAUGCUGGACACUUCCUGCCCUCUAACAUCGGACUCCAGGUUCUUCAGUUUUGAGACUCGGAUUGGCUCUCCUUGCUCCUCAAACUUGCAGACAGCCUAUUGUGGGACCUUGUGAUUGUGUAAGUUAAUACUUCAUAAACUCCCCUUUAUAUAUCUAUCUAUAUCUAUAUCUAUUAUCUAUAUCUAUAUCUAUAUCUAUUAUCUAUAUCUAUAUCUAUAUCUAUAUCUAUAUCUGUCUAUAUCUCCUAUUAGUUCUGUCCCUCUAGGGAACCCUGAUUAACACAGGUGGGUAGGCACAGGGAAAUGUGCCCCCUUCCCCGUGGGUGCUGGGUAGGUAAAUGUUUCGCAAAGGGCUUUCUUGGGGAGAGGGAACCCUGAUUUUCAGUAUUUGCCUCUUUUCCUGGUAUAAAUAUUCCCACUGUGGGCAGUAUCACCUGCCUCUCAAAAUUCCUGAAAAUUCAACAGUUGGCUCCUGGCAGCUGCUGUGAGCCGUUCCAGCCGGUGACUGUGGUGGCUCCAUCCUGCAGGGCCAUGUGCCCCCACCCCUUGUGCUAUGGCCUCCCUCACUUUAGUGUGCUGUGUUUUGCUCUUAGGAAUCAAUGUCUUUGCAGAUAAGGCACCCCAGUAGCUGGCCACCACCUGCAGUUCCCUGGUCUGUCUCUUGCUGGCACCAAGCUGUGCUGUGCCUGCUGAGACUGCUGGGCCACCCCCGUGCAUAUGGUCUGCGGGGCUUACUUGAUUCCCUUAGCUUCCCAGCCAAGGUGCUGGUGUUGCCAGCAGUGCUGGCAGGAGGAGGGGAUAACUAGAGGGGAUUUAACUCAACCCGAGGGGCUCUUACGGGAUCUUUCCUGGAUAUCCCUCCAGGUGGGACUGGCUGCCCUGAGGGUAUACAAACCUCCAACUCCUCCAAUGGCUGAAGCUACUUCCUCGAGCAGAUGGCAGCUGGCUCAGGCUGGCUAGGGACCAGUGCAUGUGAGGUCGGUGCUGGAUCACCCCAUCAAGGCCAUCAGCCUGUGCUUGUUCUUGGGGUUUGAGGGAAACCCAACAGGGAUGAAUCACAGUUUUUAACCUGUGUUUGUCUGCCCCCCAGCCCUGGACAUCUGCAGGCAAAGUUAAAGUUAUAUUUGGCUCUUAUCACCGCAAAAGGCAUAAACCAGAAAUUAUGGCAUCGGGUUGGAAGUCAGGGAGGCUAAUUUGGGGAAACUGCCUGGAGGAAGCAGCAACUCAAAAGAGGAGGAGUCCCACUGUGGGACAGAACAGGCCCUGCAUAAGAACCACUAAUCCCAGGCAAGCCCAGACAUGGCCUUCUGCCUGGGGAGGCCCUCUUUGGCCUGCUCAGCAGACCCUCAGCCCCUUCUAGGCCCUGUCUUCAGCCUCAGACUGAGUGGUGGCCUGGGGAGGUUGGGAGCUGAGCUGUUCUCAUCCCUGGUUCCUUGGCCACGGUGGAAACAAUGGGGCCGGAUCUGACUGCUCAGCGGGGACUGUGAAUAGCUCUCUAGCAGGAAGCAACAGCAGGGGUAGUGGAGGAAGUGUGGGCCCACUUUGGUUUGACACUGCAUAUGGUCCCCAUCUGGCCUGAGAGCCUUUACUCCUUGGCAAACUCAGGCCAAUAAGCUCCUGCCCCCACCCUCAAUGGCAGCUGGAAGAAUGGCCUGAGGGAGAAGCAGGGAUAGGUGGGCUGCAGUGACAUCACCCCCAGAUCCCAGCCGUGGCCCCAGCCAACCCAUGGAGGUGGGGCAUGGCACGGCAGGUGCUGCACAGGAGCCCAAGCACAAGAGCACUUAGGAGAAGGAAUCUGAGCAGGGAUCGAUCUGGCCUGGUGGUGAUUCUCCAGAAACUCCAUUCCUCAGGGCUGUGACCACCAAGCCAGGUGAUCAGGCCAGUGAUGUUUCCCUUUGGGCCAGGUCGGGGAGCCAGACCUGGGAGGGAGACUCCUCUGGGGCCCAGGGGAGGUGAGUCAGAGCUGGCAGAGGCCUCUGGCUCCAGGAACCUCCAAGGAGGAGACCUGAGUUGCUGGGAAUUUCUGGGUCUGACCUCCUGCCAAGUCAAGGUCUGGGCUGGACACAAGGUGAGGCUGUGCCUUCUGGUGCCAGGACCAAGGAAAUGCUGGGAUCUGGGCAGUGCUCAGAGGCAGCACCGUAUGGCAGAACCAUGAGGGUGCACCAGCACGGACCCCUUUCUGCAACCCACCCAUCCCUCCCUGCAGCACCUCGCCUCCUCCAGGCAAGAAUCUGAGCCUUGACCACAGCUCCCUCUCUCACACAGCUUCCUUCUUUGGUUAGAACCACCCGGAGGUGACUGUGGCCAUGGCUCUGACUGACAUAGACCUGCAGCUGCAGUUCUCCAUGUCCCAACCCGAAGCCCUCCUUCUCCUGGCAGCAGGCCCAGCUGACCACCUCCUGCUGCAGCUCUACUCUGGACACCUGCAGGUCAGGCUUGUCCUGGGCCAGGAGGAGCUGAGGCUGCAGACCCCAGCAGAAAUUCUACUGAGUGACUCCGUCCCCCACACCACAGUUCUGACUGUCUCAGAGGACUGGCCCACAUUGUCAGUCAAUGGGUUUCUGAAUGCCUCCUCUGUAGUCCUGGGAGCCCCCCUAGAAGUCCCCUAUGGGCUCUUUGUUGGGAGCACUGGGAGACUUGGCCUGCCCUACCUGAGGGGAACCAGCCAUCCCCUGAGGGGUUGCCUCCAUGCAGCCGCUCUCAAUGGCCGCAGACUCCUCCAGCCUCUGACCCCCAAUAAGCAUGAGGGCUGUGCUGAAGAGUUUUCUGCCAAUGACGAUGUGGCCCUGGGCUUCUCUGGGUCCCACUCUCUGGCUGCCUUGCCUGCCUGGGGCACUCAGGAUGAAGGAACCCUGGAGUUUACACUCACCACACAGAGCUGGCAGGCACCCUUGGCCUUCCAGGCAGCAGGCUGGCAUGGGGACUUCAUCCAUGUGGACAUAUUUGAGGGCCACCUGUGGUCCAUGGUUGAGAAGGGCCAGGGUACUGUAUUGCUCCUCAACAGUGUGCCUGUGACUGACGCACAGCCCCACAAGGUCAGCAUCCACAUCAACAUUCACCAGCUAGAAAUCUCCAUGGACCAGUACCCCACACGAACUGAGGAGUCCUCAGCUACCUGGAGCCACGUGACAGUCUCCUUCUUGGGGAGCUGGUUGCAGAGGCCUCUCAUCACCUCCAGGAACACCGCUCAGGCCUGACACCAGGGGCUGCCAAUGCCUCCCUGCUGGGCUGGCUGCAUGGAAGACCUCAGUGUCAAUGGCUAGAGGCAGGGGCUGUGGGAAGCCUUGCUGACGCACAACAUGGUGGCUGGCUGCAGACUGGAGGAGGUAGACAAUGCCUAUGGCCAUUAUGAAGCUUUCUCCACCCUGGCUCCCAAGGCUUGGCUGUCUGUGGAGCUAGCUGAGCCAUGCGUGCCUGAGCCAGGGCUACCUCCUGUCUUUGCCAAUUUCAUCCAGCUGCUAUCAGCGCAGUGGUGGUGACCGAGGGUGGCACAGCCUGGCUUGAGUGGUGGCAUGUGCAGCCCAUGCUGGCACUGAUGGAGGCUGAACUGCGUAAAUCCCAGGUGCUGUUCAGUGUGACCUGAGGGGCACACUACAGCGAGCUCGAGCUGGAUGUCCUGGGUGCCCAGGCAUGAAAAAUGUUCACCCUCCUGGACGUGGUGAACUGCAAGGCCCGCUUCAUCCACGAUGGCCCUGAGGACACCUCUGACCAGCUGGUGCUGGAGGUGUCAGUGAUGGCUUGGUUGCCCAUGCCCUCAUGCCUGCGGAGGGGCCAAACAGACCUCCUGCCCAUCCAGGUCAACCCUGUCAAUGACCCACCCCACAUCAUCUUCCCACAUGGCAGCCUUAUGGUGAUCCUGGAACACACACAGAAGCCUCUGGGGCCUGAGGUUCUCCAGGCCUAUGACCUGGACUCUGCCUGUGAGGGCCUCGCCUUCCAGCUCCUUGGCACCCCCUCUGGCCUCCCCGUGGAUCACCGAGACCAGCCUGGGGAGCCGGUGACUGAGUUCUCCUGCUGGGAGUUGGAGGCCGGCAGCCUAGUCUAUGUCCACUGUGGUGGCCCUACACAGGACUUGACAUUCCGGGUCAGCAAUGGACUGCAGGCCAGCCCCCCGGCCAUGCUGAAGGUGGUGGCUGUCCAGCUGGCCAUACAAAUCCACCGCAGCACAGGGCUGCAUCUGGCCCAGGGCUCUGCCAUGCCCAUCUUGCCUACCAACCUGUUGGUGGAGACCAGCGCCGUGGGGCAGGAUGUGACCGUGCUGUUCCAUGUCACCGGAGGCCUGCCGUUCAGGGAGCUGCAGAAGCAGGGGGCUGGUGGGGUGGAGGAUGCUGAGUGGUGGGUCACACAGGCGUUCCACCAGCAGGAUGUGGAGCAGGGCCACGUGAGGUACCGCAGCACUGACCCACAGCACUACACCGAGGACACCGUGGAGAACCUGGAUCUGCAGGUGCAGGUGAGCUGGGAAAUCCUGAGCAAUCUGUCCUUCCUAGUGACCAUCCAGAGAGCCACUGUGUGGAUGCUGCAGCUGGAGCCACUGCACACUCAGAACACCCAGCAGGAGGCCCUCACCACAGCCCACCUGGAGGCCACCCUGGAGGAGGCAGGCCCAAGCCCCCCAACCUUCCACUGUGAGGUGGUUCAGGCUCCCAGGAAAGGCAACUUUCAACUACAGGGCACGAUGCUGUCAGACGGUCAGGGCUUCACCCAGGAUGACGUACAGGCUGCAGAGGUGACCUAUGGGGCCAUGGCACGUGCCUCAGUGGCAGUGGAGGACACCUUCUGUUUCCAUGUCACAGCUCCACCAUAUUUCUCCCCACUCUGUACCUUCUCCAUCCAUAUUGGCGGUGACCCAGACAUGCCUGUCCUCACCAAUGUCCUCGUGGUGCCCGAGGGUGGUGGGUGUGUCCUCUCUGCUGACCAGCUCUUCGUCAAGAGCCUCAACAGUGCCAGGUACCUCUAUGAGGUCAUGUAGCAGCCCUGCCAUGGGAGGUUCUUAGCGUGGGACACAGGACAAGAUCACUAUGGUGACAUCCUUCACCAAUGGAGACCUGUUGCGUGGCCAGCUGGUCUAGCAGCAUGAUGACUCCGAGAUCACGGAAGAUGAUAUGCCAUUUGCUGCUGCCGCCAGGACCAGAGCAGUGGUGACGUGGCCUGGGAGGAGGUACGGGGCCAUCCAGCCUGUGAAUGACCACGCCCCUGUGCAGAGCAUCAGCUGCGUCUUCCAUGUGGCCUGGGGUAGGUGGCAGCUGCUGACUACAGACAACAUGGCCUUCAGCAAUGCUGAUUCGGGCUUUGUGGAUGCCCAGCUGGUGCUGACCCACAAGGACCUCCUCUCUGGCAGUAUCAUGGCCACGGAUGAGCCCAUGCAGCCCAUCUGCUGCUUCAUCCAGGAGGGGCCUCAGGAAGAGGCGAGUCCUGUUCACGCACUCAGGCUGACUACAGCUGGAUCCUGCUGCAGGUGUCCGACAGGCAGCACCAGGCCAUCAUGGUGCUGGAGGUGCAGGCCUUGGAGCCUUACCUCUGUGUGGCCAACGGCUCCAGCCUCAUGGUCCCUCAAGGAGACCAGGGUACCAUCAACAUGGCCGAGCUCCACCUUGGCACCAACCUCGACAUCCGCAGCGGGGAUGAGGUCCACUACCACGUCACAGACAGCCCUCGCUGGGGACAGUUGCUGCAGGCCACUCAGCCAGCACUGCCUUCUCCCAGCAGGACCUGCUGGUUGGGGCCAUUCUCUUUGGCCACAAUGGCAGCCUCAGCUCCCGCAACACCCUGGCCUUCUCAAUGGAUGUGGGGCCUUCUCAAUGGAUGUGGGGCCAGUGCACACAGAUGCCACCCUACAAGUGACCAUUGCCCUAGAGGGCCCACUAGCCCCACUGAAGCUGGCCUGGCACAAGAAGAUCUACAUCUUCCAGGGAGAGGCAGCUGAGAUCAGAAGAGACCAGCUGGAGACCACGGAGUUCAUCAUCUCGGAGCCACUGGCCAAUAUGUACUCGCGUGGGAACCAGAACACACUGAUGGAGGAGUGGGCAGAGUAGGCACAGUGGCACGACGAGAUGCUGCGCAUGCACCACGUGCUGAAGGAGGCGCUCAGCAUCAUCAGUGACACCACCAGGACCACCGUCAGCAUGCCCAUGCCCCUGCCCGCGGACGACACCUGGGUGCAGGUGCAGAGCAUCUCUGAGGAACAAAGGUGCCAGGGCCUGCCCCCCACAGCCCCAAAGUACCCCCCGCCCGGGCCGCACAGAGGGAUGCCCCUGCAUCGGGGUGGCUCCCACCUGGAGUGAGGGGUGGAGCUUGCCAAGGAGCACUGGCUGCGGGGCGGGGUGGAGCUGGGAUGUUCUCACCACUGGGGUCUGGGCUUAAGCUUGGGCGACUGCCUCGGGGCACGGCAGGGAGGAGCUUCCGUGCAUGGGUGUGGCCGGGGCGGGGCCUCAGGGGGGCAGAGCCACCCAUCUCUCCCCUCCCUAUGCCUUGCAGGUCGCCCAAGUCCAGCCCCAGGAUGCCCAGACCCCACCAUGUCCCUAGCCCGGCCUGGGUGGCGGGGCCCAGCUCUUGGGCUUCCUCUUGCCAGGUCCGCCCUUGGGGAAGCGUGCCCCGUACCCUCCAGGCUAGAGGCUUCCCCUGAUCCCUUCAGCCCCUACCCCGCCAAGUGCGCUCAUGCCCCACGCGGGGUCUCCAAGUGAGUAGGGGCUGAAUGCAGCCAAAGAGGCUGCUGGACGGGCGUGGCCGGGAAGGAAAUGGGACUGGAGUCCAGAGCAUCAGACCUGGCCGCCUCCAUCCAAGGCAUUGGGACCAUGGGUGCCGGAGCCACGUGUGGCUGAGGGCUGGCGGAGCCUGCUCCCCAGGGAGCACUGAUUCCUGGAGGUGGUCGUUUUUGAGGGGGCUGUGGGGCUUGUCUUACCUGCCCCCUUCUGUCCAGCACUUGCAUGGCACUUCCCUCUAUUUUCACUCUUGGCGGCUGCCCACACGUUGCAUUUCUCUUCCUUUCUUCUUCUCGCUGUCCUCCAUCCUCCAUUCUGUCCAACUCCUAUCCCAGCCCCUGGGGAGCCUACCUCAGGUCUGAGAGUCUGGGUGUGUGGAUUUCCUUCAGCUACCCGGAUGUCCCCACAGGCAAUCUGAUUUUUUCUCCACAUCUGGACCCCUCCCCCUCUAUCCCUAACCCUGUCUAAACUAAUGGCGCAGUGGUAGCUGCAAGGGCAGGGAUGGGAGUGGCUGAAGCCUACUUCACUCCCAAAGAUUUCUAAGGAAAAUGGUUCUACUGCAUCCUUUGGCUGGGCCUUGUUGACCCGUGACCCUCUUCCAAGAACAUUCACUCUG
This 8752-nucleotide long non-coding RNA is filed under the name Homo sapiens (human). RNAcentral describes it as "novel transcript". Lineage: Eukaryota; Metazoa; Chordata; Mammalia; Primates; Hominidae. The record is from RNAcentral.